UUGGCGUUAGCUGAGUUCACCCUCACGUGGUGGUUUAGCGUGUAGUGAACUCUAAGGCUUUACCUCAGGAGAUAUCCUCCGCGCCUCUCGUACCGAGGUAAAUAUAUAACGGGGUUUACCAUGCCCCUCUAAUAGGCUAGUCCACGGAAACCCACCACUGCAGUGACUAAUCAAUAUCCCACCAAAUCAAUAAAAGUUUCAACAACAUGACAUGGCAAUUAUAUUACUAUCCAGCCUGUUAAGGCAAAACAAACAGUUCAUACAAUUUCAACACAAUUUCCAAUUCAUCCAUUCAUGCCAAUAUCACCAUAAGCCAUUCAAUUCAAACCAUAAAUUUACAACACAAACAAACAGUCUCCAAUUACUCAAUUUCUAAAAUCAUCAUUCAAUUUCAAAAUGAUUUAUAAAACUCAUUUCAUUUAAUCACAUUUUACUUAUAAAACAUAAGAAUUUACCAUUUAAACUCAUUUUUUUAUAAAAUCACAAAAACGAAUAAAAACUACUUUAGAUAAUUAAGACGAUAAUAAGGUUACUCACGAUAUUGGGAGUUCGAAAUACUCCUAUUCUUGGUCCUCUGGCAAAAUAUCUUUACCCUUAUUAGAAGACUCACCACCUAUACACAAUACACGACCAAUAAUUCAAUAUAUUGUGUCAGGUCAUUAUAAAUCUAUUUCAGGCUCUAUAUGAAUGCAUGAGGUUGUUUGGAUUAUUAUCUAAAUACAAUGUUCUACGUAGGUUCAAUUGUGUAUGGGGCUGAAAUGGUAUUGACUUAAUUCACACUAUACGCCGGUUAAUUGGCCAAAAUAUCCAAUUCAACUCCAAAUAAAUUCAUUUCACUUCCAAUACUCCAAAUCAUCAAAUAUAAGCUAGCUAACAUGAAUUAUAGCAAAAUCAUCCUCAACAUUUUCUCUUGAAAAAAUUCAACCAUGGAGGGUUCAUGAAUAAUAUGUGGUUUUUCAUGCUUGAUUUUUACACUUUACAUCAUUAAACAACUAAAAACACCUAAAUAGAAUGAAAUUCAUCAAAGUCCAUUUUCCAAUUUCUCUCUUGAAAAAUUCAGCCAAUGGGUGUGGGUGAAGGGCAUGAAAUUUCUUGCUUGUUUUCCAUGCUAAACAUCACCAAACAACUAAAAACACUAGAAUAACAUGAAAUCUAGCUAAAUCCAACAUCAAAACCCCUCCCCCCAUGUCCCGCCAGCAAAGGUAUCUUCAUGCAAACUUGAUUCUCAACCAUGGGAAAUGAAAACGAAUGCAUAGGAAAGGUAGAUCUCAAGCUAAAAUUGAAAAAUCUUACCUUUUGUCACUUGAUUCCUUGAAAUUCCAAAAUUUUCUCUUGAAUUUUUCUAACUAGGUUUUGUUCUUUCUUUCUUUCCUCUUUUCCUUGGUGAGGCCGAACAUAUGGGAGUGAAA
Molecule: long non-coding RNA, 1409 nt
Filed under: Theobroma cacao (cacao)
Lineage: Eukaryota; Viridiplantae; Streptophyta; Magnoliopsida; Malvales; Malvaceae
Description: long non-coding RNA (TCAC_LNC003335)
Source: RNAcentral